CUGAGCUUACUGUGUUCAUUAUUAUAAGAUUUCUGGAUUUAAUCAAACAUUUUUGUUUUAAUAUCGAGAUUAAUUUUCGUUGAAAUUUGAACUUAAACCUCUCGCGAAUAAAAAAAAAAUGACUAAAUCAUCACGUUCAAUUUUUUUGUUUGUUCAUAUCACCUAUUGUUGUACGUGAUAUAUGCAAUAAAUUUAUUUUCGGUUAGUUUGUUUCUGAUGACUGUUCGUCAAAGUCAAUUGUCACGCGUUU
This is a non-coding RNA of Cinara cedri, 250 nucleotides long. The record is from the annotation of a GenBank genome assembly. NCBI's taxonomy places the organism in Eukaryota, Metazoa, Arthropoda, Insecta, Hemiptera, Aphididae.